AAAAAUUUAAUUUAAAUUAAAAAUAUUUUAUUUACAAUAAAAAAAUUAAAAAAUUUUAAAUUUUUA
This 66-nucleotide transfer RNA is filed under the name Helorus sp. ZJUH_2016017. Its description in RNAcentral is "tRNA-Val". Lineage: Eukaryota; Metazoa; Arthropoda; Insecta; Hymenoptera; Heloridae. The record is from RNAcentral.